Long non-coding RNA from Esox lucius (northern pike), 458 nucleotides. Lineage: Eukaryota; Metazoa; Chordata; Actinopteri; Esociformes; Esocidae. The record is from Ensembl.
CCCCACUCUGCAAACUGUGUUUUGAAUCUGAACUUGUACUCAGCUGAGUCAGUCUCUCUCAGGUCUGUGAUUCUCAGGGUACAGUCACUCAUAUUAUCUCCAAGGUACUUCACACGACCUGAAUACUCUGGCAAUGAACUCAGGUUUGUUGGUGCCUCAUCACGUUCUCCUUGUAUAUACCAGUUCAUUUCUAUGACUGUGUGGUUAUUUGGAUGUUGGUAUGUGCAGGGAAGAUCUACUGUUGAGCCGAUCAAGGCAGAUAUUCUCUGAUGGGUGUAAGUAACAUUGAAACAGGUUUUACAGAGAACACCUGAAAUAUACAAGAAUCCUGUCAAUGUCUGUAAAUAGUCUGACAUUUGUUUAAAUCAGUUAAUCUGGACCGGAAUAAUUGUUAUGGGUAGUAACAAUGUAAAUCAGAUGCAAAAAUUUAUAAACUGCACUUGGAUCCAGGCUUACAG